Long non-coding RNA from Lolium rigidum, 443 nucleotides. RefSeq lists it as uncharacterized. Lineage: Eukaryota; Viridiplantae; Streptophyta; Magnoliopsida; Poales; Poaceae. The record is from RefSeq and is a predicted model, not a curated record. The transcript is spliced from 2 exons.
GGGAGGAAGACGACGCCGGUCGCCGCUCCAAGACCACGCUGCCGCUGAAGCUCCCUCGACGCUCCAAGACCAGGCCGCCGACGCUUCCCCCUCUCAGGAAACAAGUCACUUGGACUGAUUUUCUUCUCAUAAUAUUGAAGGGAACAAGCAUGCUUUUAAGAGGACUGUCCCGGGCCAAGUUGGUGCUUUAUUGAGCAUCUUGUAGUUUCAGUAUUUGCUCAGAACUAUAUGCCUAUCCACUUUGGAUUUCUCUAUUUAUUUCAUGUCUCCGAAAAGUAGAUUAUGAGAUCGGGAGUUAACUGUACCAUGCUUGUAGCUGUGAUGAUAAGAUGCUAUUGUUUGCAUUUAUGUACUGGUUGCAAGAUAUGAUCUUCUAGUGUGCUACAAAGAUUUGAUUUUAUUUAUGAUGCACAUCUACUGUCAAAAAGAUUGUCUUUUUAUCU